Molecule: ribosomal RNA, 431 nt
Filed under: uncultured archaeon
Lineage: Archaea
Description: bacterial SSU rRNA
Rfam family: Archaeal small subunit ribosomal RNA
Source: RNAcentral
UGCCAAGCUCUCCGAGUGGUAGGGAUGAUUAUUUGGGCUUAAAGCGUCCGUAGCCGGCUUAGCAAGUCUCCUGUUAAAUUCAGCGACCUAAUCGUUGAGCCGCGGGAGAUACUACUAGGCUAGGAGGCGGGAGAGGUCAACGGUACUUCCGGGGUAGGGGUGAAAUCCUAUAAUCCCGGGAGGACCACCAGUGGCGAAGGCUGUUGACUAGAACGCGCUCGACGGUGAGGGACGAAAGCUGGGGGAGCGAACCGGAUUAGAUACCCGGGUAGUCCCAGCUGUAAACGAUGCGAGCUAGGUGUUGGGGUGGCUACGUGCCACUUCAGUGCCGCAGGGAAGCCAUUAAGCUCGCCGCCUGGGGAGUACGGCCGCAAGGCUGAAGCUUAAAGGAAUUGGCGGGGGAGCACCACAAGGCGUGAAGCUUGCGGUUC